GAUGAAGAACGUAGCGAAAUGCGAUAAGUAAUGUGAAUUGCAGAAUUCAGUGAAUCAUCGAAUCUUUGAACGCACAUUGCGCCCCCUGGUAUUCCGGGGGGCAUGCCUGUCCGAGCGUCAUUACAACCCUCAAGCUCAGCUUGGUGUUGGGCCCCGCCGCCCCGGCGGGCCCUAAAGUCAGUGGCGGUGCCGUCCGGCUCCGAGCGUAGUAAUUCUUCUCGCUCUGGAGGUCCGGUCGUGUGCUCGCCAGCAACCCCCAAUUUUUUUCAGGUUGACCUCGGAUCAGGUAGGGAUACCCGCUGAACUUAAGCAUAUCAAUAAGCGGAGGC
RNAcentral lists this unclassified non-coding RNA (329 nucleotides) under soil metagenome. RNAcentral's name for it is "partial contains 5.8S ribosomal RNA, internal transcribed spacer 2, and large subunit ribosomal RNA". The stretch from base 1 to 120 matches the Rfam family "5.8S ribosomal RNA", at positions 35 to 154 of the family's 154-position model. The record is from RNAcentral.